RNAcentral lists this ribosomal RNA (776 nucleotides) under uncultured Neocallimastigales. RNAcentral's name for it is "partial large subunit ribosomal RNA". It matches the Rfam family "Eukaryotic large subunit ribosomal RNA", at positions 23 to 616 of the family's 3401-position model. Lineage: Eukaryota; Fungi; Neocallimastigomycota; Neocallimastigomycetes; Neocallimastigales. The record is from RNAcentral.
AAGAGAGAGACAUGCGCGCAUAUCAAUAAGCGGAGGAAAAGAAACUAACAAGGAUUCCCCUAGUAACGGCGAGUGAAGCGGGAAGAGCUCAAAUUUGAAAUCUUAAAGGGUUUCCCUUUACGAAUUGUAGUUUAAAGAAGUGUUUUCUGUUGAGGUUUUGGUAAAAGUUCUUUGGAAUAGGACAUCAUAGAGGGUGAGAAUCCCGUAUUUGACCAUUACUUUCAACUUUGUGAUACACUUUCAAAGAGUCGGAUUGUUUGGGAAUGCAGUCCAAAAUAGGGUGGUAAAUUUCAUCUAAAGCUAAAUACUGGCGAGAGACCGAUAGCGAACAAGUACCGUGAGGGAAAGAUGAAAAGAACUUUGAAAAGAGAGUUAAACAGUACGUGAAAUUGUCAAAAGGGAAGCGUUUGACACCAGUGUUGUUUUUCUGAAAAUCAAUUAAAGAACUGUUUAUGCUAAGUUGUUUAGACUUUAUCAGCUAACUGUUUAGUUUUGAGCUUUUCUUUAAUGCACUUUUCAGUUAACAAGUCAACAUCAAUUUCUUUUGCUGUAAAAAAGCUUGAGGAAGGUGGCUUGAGAUUCGUCUUAAGUGUUUAUAGCCUCUUGCCUAUGCAGUCGGAGAGAUUGAGGUCUGCAGCGUAGAUCCUUCGGGGCUAAAUGCAUUUGUGCUAAGUUAUAGCAUUUUAUAGACAACUUGUUGACUAUGAUUUGUCUUGUAGCUUACUCGCUUAUGUUAUUUUACCUACGCUUAGGAUGUUGAGCGCAUGUCUCUCUCU